This 3971-nucleotide long non-coding RNA is filed under the name Triticum aestivum (bread wheat). Its description in RNAcentral is "long non-coding RNA (TAES_LNC013381)". The record is from RNAcentral. Lineage: Eukaryota; Viridiplantae; Streptophyta; Magnoliopsida; Poales; Poaceae.
CUACAGUUCAUUAUUACAUGCGAAAUGUUUUUGCUUCGGAGCAGAACACUGAUCUAUCUCUGUCUUCAUAUCUUUUUCUUCUCAGAGCUGGAGUGUGAUGCCUUGCUCCUAUUCAUGGCUAUUGACCUACAAUUUUUGAACAAUCUAAAUUAGUUAUUCAUUCAAUGGGAAAUCAGAAGUGGGGAUUACUUUACCAAGAUCAUUAGCAAGUUUAUGAGGGAAAAGAAAGCGAUAUAACUUCCAAAAGCAAACGUAAGAAUGAAGUACAUAGUAUUAUACUCCCUCCGUUCCAAAAUAGAUGACUCAAAUUUGUACUAACUUUAGUACAAAGUUAGUACAAAGUUGGGUCAUCUAUUUUGGAACGGAGGAGUAGCUGGGAAAGUAGGAACAUGAGAUGCGGCGUGUUUUAGAAAAAAAUGGUCGAGUCCCUGAUCCUAGUAACAUGAGCUGAGAUUAUUUUGUCAGGGACUCAUGGUCAUGGCUGUAUAUAAUUUUCACAAGCAACAAACCUAUGUGACAACCUACCUUCGAUCACAAAGCUAUAUAAUCUAUAUAAUAGACAAAAAUGGAGCAUUCGAUAACUUAAAUACCUAUUUUUCCUACCAUAGUGUGAUGAGGCUCUGAAACUGCACAUACAGGGAUUUUCAUGGGACCAUUCAGGACUUUGAAAAAAGAUACAAAAACUGCAUUCAGCUCUUCCAUCUAAGGCUACCUCAAUAAUAAACCAAUACUAAAUGAUAGAAUAAUCUGAAAAUCGUAUAUGAUAACAAUGCAAAAUAAUCUUGCAGCACCUCCUAAAACUGUAAAAGCUGUGAAAUUGGCAGUCAACUUACUAUCAACGAGAAACACCACACUAUGAUAACAAUGCAAAAUAAUCUUGCAGCACCUCCUAAAACUAUAAAAGCUGUGAAAUUGGCAGUCAACUUACUAUCAACGGGAAACACCACACUGCACUAUAUUUUUCCAGGAACAAGAUGCUAAUAUGCUUUCCCGUUCCCCACUGCAAGGAUGCACGUCGUCUCCCCAUUCUCCACCGCGAGGACGCCGACGCGUCCCUGUUCUCCACCGCCAGCACGCCCAACUCCUCCCCUAUCUCCACCACAAGGACGUUGGGCGCCUCUUCGUUUGCCACCCUGAGCACCGCAUUGAGGUCGUCUAGCAAUGUACUAUCAAGGCAACUGCUUUUCAUUGUCCCCCUCUAUUAAUUUUUCGCCGCACACACCCCUUGUUAUUCUACACCUAGGACGGCUGUUCUUGUAGAUUUUGCCGACCACCAUGUUCUGCAGUAAAUAGUAUGGCUGCAGUCCAAUGUGUUGAUUUUCAGCAGGCCAAUGUGUUGAUUGACUAAUUUUGUGCAUCAAAAACAGUAGGGCAGUGUUGAUGAAUCAAUUUUGUUUAGUAAAAAACGGAGUCUGUGACAAUACUAUAAAAGCGCUAGUCUCCAAAGUCCACCAUGCCGCAAAAACAUUUAGCACCCAUUUAAAUAUGGAUUUGGGUUCAUAUAUACACAAAGCGCAGUAAUUGUUGUGAAGCAAGAAAAAUAAUGCUCCUACUAUCAGAAAUAUGUGCCGACAACAACACCAUCCUAUUAGAGCUCGAAAACAGGAACAGAGAAGGCACCUAUACCUGUUCAUGGAGCUGUGUCUGAACCUCCAUUUGCAUAUGUAGAGCUUCUGCCAAGUUCCUAAGAAAAGGAGAAGGGGACAGAUGUAAAUUUGUAAGGUCAUGGUAUUUACCAUGCAUACAUUCUAGUGUACUAAUUCAGAGAUAUUACUUGUUUUUGAACGGAGCACUUCCACUGCUACCUAGUCGUACCUUCUUAAUAUCUGAGGAGGCCUUCUUUGAUGCGUAUUCAGUAUAAAAAAGGACUGCUCAUGAGUAGAAAGAUCAUUGUCGCAAUUUGGAAUGACAUGUUCUAGUAGGAAUCCUAGAUAUACAAAGAGAGGAUUAGUUCGGCAGAAUCAAUACGAUUAUUAGUAAAAAAUACAGAGUCCGUAACAAUACUAUAAAAGCUUAGUCUCCAAAGUCCACCAUGCCGCAAAAACAUUUAGCACCCAUUUAAAUAUGGAUUUGGGUUCAUAUAUACACAAAGCGCAGUAAUUAUUGUGAAGCAAGAAAAAGAAUGCCCCUACUAUCAGAAAUAUGUGCCGACAACAACACCAUCCUAUUAGAGCUCAAAAACAGGAACAGAGAAGGCACCUAUACCUAUUUAUGGAGCUGUGUCUGAACCUCCAUUUGCAUAUGUAGAGCUUCUGCCAAGUUCCUAAGAAAGGAGAAGGGGACAGAUGUAAAUUUGUAAGGUCAUGGUAUUUACCAUGCAUACAUUCUAGUGUAAUAAUUUAGAGAUAUUACUUGUUUUUGAACGGAGCACUUCCACUGCUACCUAGACGUACCUUCUUAUUGUCCAAGGAGGCCUUCUUCUCUGCAUACAGUAUGCAUCAAAAUUCAGUAUAAAAAAGGACUGCUCAUGAGUAGAAAGGUCAUUGUCGCAAUUUGGAAUGACAUGUUCUAGUAGGAAUCCUAGAUAUACAAAGAGAGGAUUAGUUCGGCACAAUCAAUACAAUUAUUAGUAAAAAAACAGAGUCCAUAACAAUACUAUAAAAGCACUAGUCUCCAAAGUCAACCAUGCCGCAAAAAUAUUUAGCACCCAUUUAAAUAUGGAUUUGGGUUCAUAUAUACACAAAGCGCAGUAAUUAUUGUGAAGCAAGAAAAAUAAUGCUCCUACUAUCAGAAAUAUGUGCCGACAACAACACCAUCCUAUUAGAGCUCGAAAACAGGAACAAAGAAGGCACCUAUACCUGUUCAUGGAGCUGUGUCUGAACCUGCAUUUGCAUAUGUAGAGCUUCUGCCAAGUUCCUAAGAAAAGGAGAAGGGGACAGAUGUAAAUUUGUAAGGUCAUGGUAUUUACCAUGCAUACAUUCUAUUGUAAUAAUUCAGAGAUAUUACAUGUUUUUGAACGGAGCACUUCCACUGCUACCUAGUCAUACCUUCUUAAUGUCUGAGGAGGCCUUCUUGUCUGCAUACAGUAUGCAUCAAAAUACUGUAUAAAAAAGGACUGCUCAUGAGUAGAAAGAUCAUUGUCGCAAUUUGGAAUGACAUGUUCUAGUAGGAAUCCUAGAUAUACAAAGAGGGGAUUAGUUCGCCAGAAUCAAUACGAUUAUUAGUAAAAAUACAGAGUUAAAAACAAUACUAUAAAAGCGCUAGUCUCCAAAGUCCACCAUGCCGCAAAAACAUUUAGCACCCAUUUAAAUAUGGAUUUGGGUUCAUAUAUACACAAAGCGCAGUAAUUAUUGUGAAGCAAGAAAAAGAAUGCUCCUACUAUCAGAAAUAUAUGUCGACAAGGCGACAACAACACCAUCCUAUUAGAGCUCGAAAACAUGAACAGAGAAGGCACCUAUAGCUGUUCAUGGAGCUGUGUCUGAACCUCCAUUUGCAUAUGUAGAGCUUCUGCCAAGUUCCUGAGAAAAGGAGAAGGGGACAGAUGUGAAUUUGCAAGGUCAUGGUAUUGACCAAGCAUACAUUCUAGUGUAAUAAUUCAGAGAUAUUACUUGUUUUUGAACGGAGCACUUCCACUGUUACCUAGUUGUACCUUCUUAAUGUCCGAGGAGGCUUUGUUUUCUGUAUAGAGUAUGCAUCAAAAUUCAGUAUAAAAAAGGACUACUCAUGAGUAGAAAGAUCAUUGUCGCAAUUUGGAAUGACAUGUUCUAGUAGGAAUCCUAGAUAUACAAAGAGAGUAUUAGUUCAGCAGAAUCAAUAUGAUUAUGCAACAAACUAUCAACCAUUGCACUAUAUCUCAAGAAUUUAUAGUGUAGCCUCCAAACAAAGCGGCAAUCAAGGCAACAUCAAUCUAACAACAAUGGCUGACCGAUGAUGUUUUAGUCCUUCUGGUUUACUAAUUCAGAGGAACUGUAACAAAAAUCGCUCUUUGGUCAAUAGCAUCAACUGAUUCUUUGAAAUCUAAAUUCCAAUCU